This 106-nucleotide ribosomal RNA is filed under the name Felis catus (domestic cat). The record is from RNAcentral. Lineage: Eukaryota; Metazoa; Chordata; Mammalia; Carnivora; Felidae.
GUCUGUGGCCAUACCACCCUGAAUGCACCCGAUUUUGUCUGAUCUCGGCAGCUAAACAGGGUCAGGUCUGGUUAGUACUUGGAUGGGAGAACAAUAACCAUAGAAA